CUCUUAGAACAAGACCUCUUCUCUCAGUUGUCUGUCUCAGGAGCCUAGAACCAUGAAGCUCUUCAUUCUAGGUUUUCUUUUUUUGGCUUUUCUGGUUGCCCUGGCUAGAGCUGACAGUUCAUCUAAAAAGAAUCCAUAUUUUGUACCUGUUCCAUAUCCUCCAGCCAUCGUACUUCCCCCAACUACUCAAAAUGAACCACAAGGAGAACCUCAAUAAAUACAGGUUUUGCCUGGAAGACUGGCUCAUUCUGUCUAUGAAAGUACAAAUCUACAAAUUUGUGAAUCUUUCCAUUUGCCAACUUAGCAGCAUCUAUUAGUGAGCAUUAUAUAGUAGCUCCAAGCUUGUCAGAUUAAUGUGAAUCAUUCCCCCAAAGGACUAAUGCUCUUCUUUACAUUUUCCAUAUAAUAAAUUCAGU
Dromiciops gliroides (monito del monte) is the source of this 416-nucleotide long non-coding RNA. RefSeq lists it as uncharacterized. NCBI's taxonomy places the organism in Eukaryota, Metazoa, Chordata, Mammalia, Microbiotheria, Microbiotheriidae. The transcript is spliced from 5 exons. The record is from RefSeq and is a predicted model, not a curated record.